CGACGAAGAGUAUAAUAUAGUAUGAUAAAUUAUAAAAAUUAAAUCUCUAUUGACUUUUGUAAAUAUUAUGUAUUUAUUUAUGUAAAUCAAUAAUUUGAAAAAUGAACGGGUCCUAUAUGCAUAUAUAAUAAUUAGUAUAGUAUAGUUUUAAUUUUAAAAAAAUGUUACACAAUAUUUAACGAACUAUUUUGUUUGCCCGUUUUUAAAGUAUGACUAAUACGAAAAUGUGUUGAUUUGUUAUCAAUAGAAUGUAUACUUUUACUGCACGAGCUAUCUAUAAACUGUUAUAGUGUCGAUAAAUAAACGCAAUAUUAUUUAUCGUAAAAUGAAAUAAGUAAGAUUAUAAUUUUCGUGUAGAAUUUGUUAAUUAUUCGAAUUAUUUUUCACGUGGAAAUAAAACAGAAUAUUUAGAAUAUUAUUUAAACGUGAUCGACGUUGUUUGGGGUAUUUUUUUUUUUUUUAUUUUUGUAACAACACGUGAGAUCUUAGUGAAAAAUAUAGAAAAAAAUUAUAUUCAAUUACUUCCGUGCGCGGUAAAUUAUUUUUCGAACGAUAGCGAACAUUUUAUGUGGAUUUUUUUCGCGUUUUUAAAUCUUCCUAUAGAUAACCACUGUCGAAAUAUUAUUAUCAUUUUAGUUUUAUUAUUAUAUAGUGUGGCCGUUAAAAUUUCCCUGCCUAUAUAAAAAAAAAAGUAGGUUUAACAAUUAUAAGUUAAAGUACCUUUAUACGGAAAAUGCUUGAAUUGGGGUGAUAAGGACCCGAAUGGGGAAGCGGAUGUAGUAACUUUUCUUUUCUAAAAAUAUUUUAGCAUAUCUCUUCUAAUUUUGUAUGAUGGACACCGAGCAGAGUUAACAAAAAUCGAUACGGAAGCAUGUGAUUAAACAUUUCGCUGACUCCUGCAAAUAUGUAUCAAAUUUACUUUCUUCCAAAAAUGUUUUUAUAAUUUUUUUUUUGUCUUUAUAGUAUUUCAUUUGACAACAAUAAUAUAAAAGAGUAAUCACCUAAAAAAAAAAAAAUUAAUAAUAUAACUAUGCUUUUUUGUAAUUCA
Molecule: non-coding RNA, 1048 nt
Organism: Cinara cedri
Lineage: Eukaryota; Metazoa; Arthropoda; Insecta; Hemiptera; Aphididae
Source: the annotation of a GenBank genome assembly